UGGGCAACUGGGGUGGAAAGUGGCGAAAGGGGCAGUAAUGCAUGGGUAACCUACCCCGAGGACCGGGAUAGCCAUCCUAACGGGUGGGUAAUACUGGGCGAUCUGACGAAGUCGCAUGGUUUUGUCAGCAAAUGAAUUUCGCCUUGGGAGGGGCUCAUGUGGUAUUAGCUUGUUGGUAGGGUAACGGCCUACCAAGGCAAAGAUGCCUAGCGGGUGUGAGAGCACGACCCGCGCCACUGGCACUGAGACACUAGCCAGACUCCUACGGGAGGCUGCAGUCGAGGAUCUUCGGCAAUGGGCGCAAGCCUGACCGAGCGACGCCGCGUGCGCGAUGAAGGCCUUCGGGUUGUAAAGCGCUGUCGAGGGGGAGGAAGCCGAAAGGUUGACCUAUCCCUGGAGGAAGCACGGGCUAAGUUCGUGCCAGCAGCCGCGGUAAGACGAACCGUGCGA
Molecule: ribosomal RNA, 450 nt
Filed under: uncultured bacterium
Lineage: Bacteria
Description: bacterial SSU rRNA
Rfam family: Bacterial small subunit ribosomal RNA
Source: RNAcentral